This 503-nucleotide ribosomal RNA is filed under the name uncultured bacterium. RNAcentral describes it as "partial 16S ribosomal RNA". It matches the Rfam family "Bacterial small subunit ribosomal RNA", at positions 899 to 1397 of the family's 1533-position model. The record is from RNAcentral.
ACUCAAAUGAAUUGACGGGGGCCCGCACAAGCGGUGGAGUAUGUGGUUUAAUUCGACGCAACGCGAAGAACCUUACCCAGCCUUGACUUCUGGAGAACCUGGUGGAAACACCGGGGUGCCCUCGCAAGAGGGAGCUCCAAGACAGGUGCUGCAUGGCUGUCGUCAGCUCGUGUCGUGAGAUGUUCGGUUAAGUCCGGCAACGAGCGCAACCCUUGCUUCCAGUUGCCAUCAUUCAGUUGGGAACUCUGGAGGAACUGCCAGCGCCAAGCUGGAGGAAGGUGGGGACGACGUCAAGUCAUCAUGGCCUUUAUGGCUGGGGCUACACACGUACUACAAUGGCGUCUACAGAGGGCCGCGAAGCCGCAAGGUGAAGCAAAUCCCAAAAAAGACGCCUCAGUUCGGAUUGCAGUCUGCAACUCGACUGCAUGAAGUCGGAAUCGCUAGUAAUCGCGGAUCAGAACGCCGCGGUGAAUACGUUCCCGGGCCUUGUACACACCGCCCGU